GAGUUUGAUCGUGGCUCAGGAUUAACGCUGGCGGCGUGCCUGACACAUGCAAGUCGAACGAGCGAAGGGACUUCGGUCCCCGAGCGAGUGGCGGACGGGUGAGUAACACGUGAGGAACCCACCCUCAAGUGGGGAAUAACUCGCAGAAAUGCGAGCUAAUACCGCAUGUGGUUGGACGUGGACAUCCACGACCAACUAAAGAUUUAUCGCUUGAGGACGGCCUCGCGGCCUAUUAGCUUGUUGGUGGGGUAACGGCCUACCAAGGCGAUGAU
This 272-nucleotide ribosomal RNA is filed under the name uncultured bacterium. RNAcentral describes it as "partial 16S ribosomal RNA". It matches the Rfam family "Bacterial small subunit ribosomal RNA", at positions 9 to 280 of the family's 1533-position model. The record is from RNAcentral.